This 253-nucleotide ribosomal RNA is filed under the name uncultured bacterium. RNAcentral describes it as "partial 16S ribosomal RNA". It matches the Rfam family "Bacterial small subunit ribosomal RNA", at positions 524 to 776 of the family's 1533-position model. The record is from RNAcentral.
UACGUAGGGUGCGAGCGUUAAUCGGAAUUACUGGGCGUAAAGCGUGCGCAGGCGGUUAUGUAAGACAGAUGUGAAAUCCCCGGGCUCAACCUGGGAACUGCAUUUGUGACUGCAUAGCUAGAGUACGGUAGAGGGGGAUGGAAUUCCGCGUGUAGCAGUGAAAUGCGUAGAUAUGCGGAGGAACACCGAUGGCGAAGGCAAUCCCCUGGACCUGUACUGACGCUGAGACGCGAAAGCGUGGGGAGCGAACAGG